This 24-nucleotide non-coding RNA is filed under the name Mus musculus (house mouse). Lineage: Eukaryota; Metazoa; Chordata; Mammalia; Rodentia; Muridae. The record is from RNAcentral.
UUCCUGUGCUGUUUUCACUCUGCC